GCUUGCACCUUUCAAGCGAGUGGCGAACGGGUGAGUAACACGUGGAUAACCUGCCUCAAGGCUGGGGAUAACAUUUGGAAACAGAUGCUAAUACCGAAUAAAACUUAGUAUCGCAUGAUACAAAGUUGAAAGGCGCUACGGCGUCACCUAGAGAUGGGUCCGCGGUGCAUUAGUUAGUUGGUGGGGUAAAGGCCUACCAAGACAAUGAUGCAUAGCCGAGUUGAGAGACUGAUCGGCCACAUUGGGACUGAGACACGGCCCAAACUCCUACGGGAGGCUGCAGUAGGGAAUCUUCCACAAUGGGCGAAAGCCUGAUGGAGCAACGCCGCGUGUGUGAUGAAGGCUUUAGGGUCGUAAAGCACUGUUGUAUGGGAAGAAAUGCUAGAAUAGGGAAUGAUUCUAGUUCGACGGUACCAUACCAGAAAGGGACGGCUAAAUACGUGCCAGCAGCCGCGGUAAUACGUAUGUCCCGAGCGUUAUCCGGAUUUAUUGGGCGUAAAGCGAGCGCAGACGGUUGAUUAAGUCUGAUGUGAAAGCCCGGAGCUCAACUCCGGAAUGGCAUUGGAAACUGGUUAACUUGAGUGUUGUAGAGGUAAGUGGAACUCCUGGGUAUAC
This 615-nucleotide ribosomal RNA is filed under the name Leuconostoc lactis. Its description in RNAcentral is "bacterial SSU rRNA". It matches the Rfam family "Bacterial small subunit ribosomal RNA", at positions 78 to 679 of the family's 1533-position model. Lineage: Bacteria; Bacillati; Bacillota; Bacilli; Lactobacillales; Lactobacillaceae. The record is from RNAcentral.